CAGAUGAGGAACAGGCUCAGAGAGGCUCAGUGACUUGCCCAAAACCAUAGAGCUGGUACCUGCUGGAGCCAAAAUACAAAGCCUCUGCCCCUCCCCUGCCCACGUGGACUCAGUUUGGGCUCCUUGGGACUUUCCUGUCUCUUUCCUAAUGUUCCUUCCCCAGAACUUGGGUAGGUUUCCAACUGUCCUACCACCCAGUUCCCAUCAGGAAGAGAUCGCAGCUACUGGUUCUUUCCCUACAGCCCCCGUCAUCCCAUUCCAGAGCGGGACGAAGCCCUCAGACUCUCACUCUAACGCAAGCACCAGCAGAGGCUGUUCUGGAUGGGGAGCUCCAGAGGACGACUUUCUCAGUGCCAGACUUUCCUGCUCUCCUUUGCCUGGGCAGUAAAGUCACCAUCACUUCUCCUGACCAUGCUCCCUUCAUAGAGACCCCUCCCGCACCACCCUGGAGGCCAUGACUGCACCUAGCUGUCCAUUAUCCUUGUUGCCUGGACCCAGGAGGACCAAAAGCAUGGGGUGGGGUGGGGAGGCCGAUGUUUUCAAUUGGUCACUCUCUCUUGAGACUGAGACAGAUUCAACGGGCCCUUCACCUGGAGCUCUCAGAGUAUGAGGCUGAAACAGCCUAAUUUGAUUGGGCUUGUGAUAGAGGACGUUGAGGGGAGGGAGAGAAGACACAGGCACAGAGAAGCAAACAAGGGAGACCUUGCAGAGCCAGAAAGAGGGGGUGUGCAUGAGCACAAAACAAACAAACAAAAAAAAGAAACUUGGUCCCUGCCUUUGCAGUCCCCAAAUCCUCCUGAGGUCUCCCACCCUUCCUGUCCUUAAGCUCUGUGAAAGCUGCCAGCCUUCUUCCAAUAAAUUCCUUUCUUGAAA
Myotis lucifugus (little brown bat) is the source of this 873-nucleotide long non-coding RNA. RefSeq lists it as uncharacterized. The transcript has 2 exons. Lineage: Eukaryota; Metazoa; Chordata; Mammalia; Chiroptera; Vespertilionidae. The record is from RefSeq and is a predicted model, not a curated record.